AGAUGCCUGGAGUCCGUGAAAAGAGAAUAGAUAAGGAUCAUAAGUAACUGUACCAAGAACCAACACUGGUGUGGCUAGCUGAGAAAGCUAAGGGAUGAAGGUUUAAACUAGUUUAGGGAAUUCGACAGAUUAGCCCUGUGCCUUCGGUAUAAGGGGUCCCUGCGUCUGUAUGUUUAGCAUGCGGAUACAGGGUUCAAAGAUCAAGGUGGUCCGACUGUUUAAUAAAAACGUAACGUUUCGCGAGCCUGCAAAGGUGUGUAUGGAACGUGACAUCUGCCCAGUGCCUGUAUCUCAAACUCCUCUACAAGGGAGCUAAGGACAGGUAAACGGCGGGAAUAACUAUGAUUCUCUUAAGGUAGCGCAAUACCCUGCCGAUUGAAUGUCGGCUUGCAUGAAUGGGGUAACGAGGCCGCCAUUGUCCCAAGCUAGUGUCCUCCGAAUAUACUGUACUGGUGUGAAGGCCAGUGACCUCCAGUGGGAAGCGAAGACCCCGUAGAACUUUACUACAGCUUGGCGUUGUGGUAUAAUGCUCGGUAUAUAGCAUAAGUGGGAGCCGUUUGAUGUCCAAUCCGUCAGGGUUGGUCUAGGCAACAGUGUAAUACCACUUUCCUUGUGUUGUAUCGCUAACUCUCUAAGAGAGAACAUCGUCUGGUGGGUAGUUUGGCUGGGGCGGCACCCUGCUGAAAAGAUAUCAGUAGGGCCCAAAGGUAAGCUCAUCCGGUUUAGAAAUCCGGAGUUGAGUGCAAGAGCAAAAGCUUGCCUAACUGAUUUCCAACCGUUACGGAAGUCAGAGACGAAAGUCUGGUCUAGCGAACCCCUAUGUCCUUAUUGAUGAGGGCUAGGUAUGACAGAAAAGCUAUCUCGGGGAUAAUUGAGUUGUAGCGCCUAAGAGUCCAAAUCGACGGCGCUGCUUGCUACUUCGUUGUCGGCUCUUCGCAUCCUGGAAGUGCAGAAGCUUCCAAGGGUACGGGUGUUCACCGGUUAAAGCGGAUCGUGAGCUGGGUUAAGAACGUCGUGAGACAGUUUGUAUGAUAUCUACUGGAGGUGUUGAAGUCUGAGUGGAAGGAUCUUUUAGUACGAGAGGAACAAAGGUUCGGCGCCACUGGUGUACCAGUUGUCCGACAGGGCAGGCUGGGCAGCUACGCGCCAAGGGAUAAGAGCUGAAAGCAUCUAAGCUCGAAACCCCCCGCGAAAAUAGACUGAGAACACCUGUAGAACACAGGUUUGAUAGGGUCGGGGUGUAAGUACCAAGGCAACGAGGUAUUCAGCCCGCGAUUACUAAUAGUUCGUCUUAUCUUA
RNAcentral lists this ribosomal RNA (1299 nucleotides) under marine metagenome. Its description in RNAcentral is "bacterial LSU rRNA". It matches the Rfam family "Archaeal large subunit ribosomal RNA", at positions 1690 to 2987 of the family's 2987-position model. The record is from RNAcentral.